AGCAGCCGCGGUAAUUCCAGCUCCAAUAGCGUAUAUUAAAGUUGUUGCAGUUAAAAAGCUCGUAGUUGAAUUUCGGGAUUGACACAUCGGUCGUGCCUUAAGGGGUAUGAACUGGUGUAGUCAAUUUCUCACCUUCUGGAGAACCGCGAUGCCCUUAAUUGGGUGUCACGGGGAACCAGGACCUUUACUUUGAAAAAAUUAGAGUGUUUAAAGCAGGCAUUUUGCUUGAAUACAUUAGCAUGGAAUAAUAAAAUAGGACGGCAUGAUUCUAUUUUGUU
Molecule: ribosomal RNA, 278 nt
Filed under: Glomeromycota sp.
Lineage: Eukaryota; Fungi; Glomeromycota
Description: partial small subunit ribosomal RNA
Rfam family: Eukaryotic small subunit ribosomal RNA
Source: RNAcentral